AUGGAUGUCCUGUCAACUCACCACUCACUACCCCACACCACUCAUGAGUCUUCUUCCUCCUCCGCCAUUGAUCAAGAAAAGCUUCAGCUAUCAGCAAUGGAGCCCAUCCCUCUCCUCACGCCGUACAAGAUGGGCCAGUUCGACCUCGCCCACAGGGUGGUUCUGGCGCUGCUGACGAGGCAGCGCUCCUAUACGCCGGCCGUGUACUACUCCCAGCGCGCCACCGCCGGCGGCCUGCUCAUCGCCGAGGCCACAGUGGUCUCCGACACGGGGCGGGGCUACACCCACACCCCAGGGAUCUGGACCGCGGAGCAUGUCGAGGCGUGGAAGCCCAUUGUCACCGCCGUGCAUGCCAAGGGCGCGCUCUUCUUCUGCCAGAUCUGGCACGUCGGCCGUGUGUCCACCUUCGAGCUGCAGCCCGGCGGGGCCGCGCCGCUGUCGAGCACGGAGAAGGGGGUCGGCCCGCAGAUGACCUUCGACGGCCGGCUAGAGGAGUUCUCGCCGCCGAGGAGGCUGACGGUGGAAGAGAUACCUGCCAUCGUCGACGACUUCAGGAAGGCCGCCAGGAACGCCAUCGACGCCGGUUUUGAUGGCGUGGAGAUCCACAGUGCAAACGGGUACAUCAUUGAGCAGUUUCUCAAGGAUAGUGCCAAUGACCGCACCGACGAGUAUGGUGGCAGUCUUGAGAACCGGUGUCGGUUCGCUCUUGAGGUGGUCGAUGCUAUUGUGAAGGAGGUCGGUGGCCAUCGUGUGGGAAUCCGUCUCUCCCCUUUCGCCGACUACAUGGACUGCCACGACUCUGACCCCCACUCUCUUGCGCUCUACAUGUCUACAAAGCUCAACGACCAUGACAUCCUCUACAUCCACAUGAUCGAGCCGAGGAUGGCUGUUGUGGACGGCCGGCGGGUGGUGUCGAAGCGGUUGCUGCCGUACAGAGAGGCGUUCAAAGGUACCUUCAUCGCCAAUGGUGGGUACGACCGUGAGGAAGGGGGCAAGGUGAUCGUCGAGGGGUACACUGACCUUGUGGCCUUUGGCAGACUAUUCCUAGCGAACCCAGACCUGCCAAAGCGGUUUGAGAUUGGUGCGGAUCUGAACAAGUAUGAUAGGAUGACCUUCUACUCCCCUGACCCCGUCAUUGGCUAUACCGGCUACCCCUGCCUCGAAUGA
Molecule: ribosomal RNA, 1167 nt
Filed under: Triticum aestivum (bread wheat)
Lineage: Eukaryota; Viridiplantae; Streptophyta; Magnoliopsida; Poales; Poaceae
Description: partial small subunit ribosomal RNA
Source: RNAcentral